This 943-nucleotide long non-coding RNA is filed under the name Lynx pardinus (Iberian lynx). The record is from RNAcentral. Lineage: Eukaryota; Metazoa; Chordata; Mammalia; Carnivora; Felidae.
UUUUAGUUUUUUGAUUGAUCUGUCCGUUUCCGAGGUGGGUAUGUUAAAAAUCUCACACUGGUGUCGAGAUUAUGUCAGAUUUUUUUUUCUUCCGAUUCUGUCCCCGUUUGCAAUAUAUCACUUGGAGUUCUAUUUUUCAGAUGCACCCAAGUAUCCUUCUGGACCACAACCGGGAUUGGAGUGAAGCGGUAGCCUCGGACAAAAUUUAAAUGCACGCCCAAAAAACUCCGUAAUUGAGAUAAAUAAUAUUUUCAGGCAAUAUUUUUGAAAACAAAAGUUUAUACCAAAAAAAUGAUGAAUAAAACACAGUUGACCCUUGGAAAACAUAGGCUUGAACCGUGUGGGUCCACCUAUACAGAGAUUUCUUUUUGAUACAGUGCUUUAAAUAUACUUUCCUUAGGGUAUUCUUAACAUUUUCUUUAGCUUACUUUUAAGAGUACAGUAUAUAAUACAUGUCACAUAUAAAAUAUGUAUCAGCUGUUUAUGGUACUGGUAAGGCUUCUGGUCAAGGGUAGGCUAUUAGUCAAGUUUGGGGAGAGUCAAAAGUUAUGUGGGGAUUUUCCUCUAGGGGAGGGUGAAGUAGGGCUCCUUACUCCUAGGGUGUUCAAUGGUCAGCCUUCCUACAAUUUAAAAAAAAACAAAAUUUGACCCUGCACUUGCAUGACAGGUCUAAAUGUACCUUCUUGGUGAACUGAUACUUUUUAUCCUUCUGUAAAAUUCCUUUAGUCCUACUGCAAGUUUUUGCCUAAAUUCUACUUUUCUACUAUUAAUAUUGUGACACUAACCUUUUGGCUGAAUUUACUUAUUCGCCUUAUUUUUUGUUUUCUUUUUAUCAUCCUCCACGCCCCCCCCUUCCUUCCUUGGAUUGAUAAGUUUUCUUUCUUUAUUUUGUUUUUUUACUGAAAAUUUAGCUUGGGUUAGGUCAAGGAAAAACUCCCUUGGG